Oncorhynchus tshawytscha (Chinook salmon) is the source of this 1767-nucleotide long non-coding RNA. Lineage: Eukaryota; Metazoa; Chordata; Actinopteri; Salmoniformes; Salmonidae. The record is from Ensembl.
GCCAUCUGCUGGCGAAGAGAAGCCAUUGUAAUGCAGCAUGGCAAAUAUCUUAUUUACAUAAAUCAAUUUGGCUGGCAGUGGCAAAUUGUACUGCUCUUUUUGUCAGUGAGUGACAACACUAAUGUUCACCAAAUAAGUGAUUAGCAGCUAAAUUGAGAAUUAAAUAGUGCGUUGUUGCAUCUCUAACUAGAUCAAUAGAUGAAUGUUUACAGACUGGGCACGUGCAGCUAAUCCUAACUGCUCGAGGUAAGUAGGGCUCGAGACUGUCCGUUAACUAGUCAGCAGCAUUUUUUGAGAGACUAACUUUUGCUAGCUAACUUCAAAUUAUUGUUGAUAAACGGGCAUAGAAAUAAAAUGCCAGGUGCUGUUCAGUUCAAGGCUGUUUACGUGCCAAGUUUUGGAUCUCAAUCCUCACGAUGUAGUCAAAAAGAUGGACAGCAAACGAAUGAGUACUUGAUCGAGUUGUCCAGCUCAAGGAGAAGACAAGAUACAUUGUCAACAAAAAAGAUCAAAUUAACGAAGUGUAACAGCAAGCCUGCACUGUCCAAGAAGAAACGAAAGGAUGAGAGAAGGUCGAUGCCUCCACCACGACCCGUGAUAGAGACCGCUGCCCGAUGUCAAGGUGAAGGAGAGAGAUCACAGAGACGGAGAAGUCCUAGCGUUGGCCAAAGAUUCUCGUUCCUUCCUUGUUCCUCCAUGUCCGAUACAGGCACUCCUCAGAGCAUGAUGAAUGAAGACCUCUUCACCUUCUACCAGAGAGACGAGCACACGUCAACCAACCAACCUCAGUGGGCAGCCAGACAGGCUGUGUUAAGGACCAUCGGUAGGAUGCUGCAGGAGAACAGAAGCAUCAGAGAGAGACUGGUCUCCCUCAGCCAUAGCAUAGGCUAUACAUUGAACUCAGUCUGAAGACUAGAUUACAAUCUGGGAAUGAUACAUAGAUUAUGGAACUUCUCUUUCCCUCUCAAACUCAGGAAUGGAAUAUUUUUUAUUUGUUUCCCUUCAAUGUUAUGAUUUUGUUUUAACCAAGUUUAUGGACUACCUGGCAAAUGUGCUGAUUUGAGAUGGAAUGAAGAUGAGGUUAUUUAUGUUACCUGAAACUAAACCUGUACUGUACAUCUCGAGCAAUCUGUUCCUAUAGUUUCCUCUGGUUGAAGAAAUAGACUAAUAUACGUUGGUUUUGAUGGGGAACACACAGAUUUUUACUGUUGUCAACUAUUUUGACUGUUGUCAUGGGGAACAAAGAGUUCUGAAUUAAAACAACUUCUUGAGGAGAAAGUGUUGUUAAUUUCUGUUAUGUCUGGUGAGCUAUAACAGGUCAACCCACCCUCCUGGAGUGCUACUACUGGGUAUGAAGGCUGUUGCACCAGCCCUUCUUCCUCAUGGAGAACCUCACCUCUUUUUCCACUAGAGGGAAGUGUCUCUAUUUUGUGUGUGUGUGGGUGUGUUAGAUACUGUACACUCAGCCACCUAAAGGUAGAAUACACAGGUCAGCCACAGCUCAACUUUCUCAGUCAGAGGUUCUCAGUAGAGCCUGUGAGUGUCCAAAAUGGCACCUUAAUCCCUUUAUAGUGCACUACUUAUGAACAGAACCCUAUGUGUUUCUGUUCCCUGCUCAUUAUUAGUGAAUUAACAACCCACAGCCAACAUGUGGUUCUGUUUCCUGCUCCUUAUUAGUGAAUUAACAACCCACAGCCAACAUGUGGUUCUGUUUCCUGCUCCUUAUCAGUGAAUUAACAACCCACAGCCAACAUGUGUUUCUGUUUC